This 466-nucleotide ribosomal RNA is filed under the name uncultured bacterium. Its description in RNAcentral is "partial 16S ribosomal RNA". It matches the Rfam family "Bacterial small subunit ribosomal RNA", at positions 28 to 507 of the family's 1533-position model. The record is from RNAcentral.
GACGAACGCUGGCGGCGCGCCUAACACAUGCAAGUCGAACGAGCGAGAGAGAGCUUGCUUUCUCGAGCGAGUGGCGAACGGGUGAGUAACGCGUGAGGAACCUGCCUCAAAGAGGGGGACAACAGUUGGAAACGACUGCUAAUACCGCAUAAGCCCACGACCCGGCAUCGGGUAGAGGGAAAAGGAGCAAUCCGCUUUGAGAUGGCCUCGCGUCCGAUUAGCUAGUUGGUGAGGUAACGGCCCACCAAGGCGACGAUCGGUAGCCGGACUGAGAGGUUGAAGGGCAACAUGGGAGGGAGGCCAGGGCCAGGCCCCCUACGGGAGGGGGAAGGGGGGAAUAGUGCAAAGGGGGGGAACCCUGGAGGCAGCGAGGCGGGGGGAAGGAGGAAGGUUUUGGAAUUGAAAUCUCUUUGUGUUGAGGAAGAAAAUGAGGGUACAAAACAAGAAAGAGACGGCUAACUACGUG